Molecule: ribosomal RNA, 498 nt
Filed under: uncultured bacterium
Lineage: Bacteria
Description: partial 16S ribosomal RNA
Rfam family: Bacterial small subunit ribosomal RNA
Source: RNAcentral
GAUGAACGCUGGCGGCGUGCCUAAUACAUGCAAGUCGAGCGAACAGACGAGGAGCUUGCUCCUCUGACGUUAGCGGCGGACGGGUGAGUAACACGUGGAUAACCUACCUAUAAGACUGGGAUAAAUUCGGGAAACCGGAGCUAAUACCGGAUAAUAUAUUGAACCGCAUGGUUCAAUAGUGAAAGACGGUUUUGCUGUCACUUAUAGAUGGAUCCGCGCCGCAUUAGCUAGUUGGUAAGGUAACGGCUUACCAAGGCAACGAUGCGUAGCCGACCUGAGAGGGUGAUCGGCCACACUGGAACUGAGACACGGUCCAGACUCCUACGGGAGGCAGCAGUAGGGAAUCUUCCGCAAUGGGCGAAAGCUUGACGGAGCAACGCCGCGUGAGUGAUGAAGGUCUUCGGAUCGUAAAACUCUGUUAUUAGGGAAGAACAAAUGUGUAAGUAACUAUGCACGUCUUGACGGUACCUAAUCAGAAAGCCACGGCUAACUACGUGC